GAAGCUGGUCAGGCAGCCGCUGGGAACCAGGUGCAAACCUUGUGCCGAGAGGAAAGUCCGGGCUCCGCAGAGCAGGAUGCCGGUUAAUCGCCGGGCACCGUGAGGUGACGGAAAGUGCCACAGAAAACAAACCGCCCAUGUCCUCGACCGAAGACAGGCAAGGGUGAAACGGCGAGGUAAGAGCUCACCGCGGCCGUGGUAACACGGACGGCACGGCAAACCCCAUCUGGAGCAAGGCCGAAUAGGGAAGCAUUGGCGUGGCUCGCGUCGCUUCCGGGUAGGCUGCUUGAACAGGCUGGUGACAGCCUGUCUAGAUGAAUGGCUGUCCACGACAGAACCCGGCUUAUCGACCGGCUUCCCAU
RNAcentral lists this RNase P RNA (362 nucleotides) under Accumulibacter sp. RNAcentral's name for it is "RNase P RNA component class A". It matches the Rfam family "Bacterial RNase P class A". Rfam says of the family: Ribonuclease P (RNase P) is a ubiquitous endoribonuclease, found in archaea, bacteria and eukarya as well as chloroplasts and mitochondria. Its best characterised activity is the generation of mature 5'-ends of tRNAs by cleaving the 5'-leader elements of precursor-tRNAs. Cellular RNase Ps are ribonucleoproteins. Lineage: Bacteria; Pseudomonadati; Pseudomonadota; Betaproteobacteria. The record is from RNAcentral.